GACGAACGCUGGCGGCGUGCUUAACACAUGCAAGUCGAACGGUAAGGCCCUUUCGGGGGUACACGAGUGGCGAACGGGUGAGUAACACGUGGGUGAUCUGCCCUGCACUUUGGGAUAAGCCUGGGAAACUGGGUCUAAUACCGGAUAGGACUACGCGAUGCAUGUCGUGUGGUGGAAAGCUUUUGCGGUGUGGGAUGGGCCCGCGGCCUAUCAGCUUGUUGGUGGGGUGAUGGCCUACCAAGGCGACGACGGGUAGCCGGCCUGAGAGGGUGUCCGGCCACACUGGGACUGAGAUACGGCCCAGACUGCUACGGGAGGCAGCAGUGGGGAAUAUUGCACAAUGGGCGCAAGCCUGAUGCAGCGACGCCGCGUGGGGGAUGACGGCCUUCGGGUUGUAAACCCCUUUCAGCACAGACGAAGCGUAAGUGACGGUAUGUGCAGAAGAAGCACCGGCCAACUACGUG
This 464-nucleotide ribosomal RNA is filed under the name uncultured bacterium. Its description in RNAcentral is "partial 16S ribosomal RNA". It matches the Rfam family "Bacterial small subunit ribosomal RNA", at positions 28 to 507 of the family's 1533-position model. The record is from RNAcentral.